Molecule: ribosomal RNA, 232 nt
Filed under: uncultured bacterium
Lineage: Bacteria
Description: partial 16S ribosomal RNA
Rfam family: Bacterial small subunit ribosomal RNA
Source: RNAcentral
GACGAACGCUGGCGGCGUGCUUAACACAUGCAAGUCGAGCGGUAAGGCCCUUUCGGGGGUACACGAGCGGCGAACGGGUGAGUAACACGUGGGUGACCUGCCCUCAGCUCUGGGAUAAGCCUGGGAAACUGGAUCUAAUACUGGAUAUGACUCCACGGUGCAUGUCGUGGGGUGGAAAGCCUUGUGCGGCUGAGGAUGGGCCCGCGGCCUAUCAGCUUGUUGGUGGGGGGAU